CAAAUUUCAAAUUCAAAAUUAAGUCUUUUUUUGACCUCAAAUUAACUUUGGGAUGUUACAGAGGUCCCCUACAACAGUCAAAAGAGAUAAUAAACAGGCUUAUUUUAUACGUAAAAUUACAUGAGAAACAGUGUCAAAUAAGAAGUGAUGUUUAAACUCCAUCGAGUUAUAUUUUUAUAAAUAUUAAUAUAUAUUCCAAAAUUGUAUAAGAUUAUGAAAAUUCUCAUGUAUCUCAGUAUAUGUUAUCAGACAUAAUUAUGGUUAUUACGUUAAACUAUUGUAGGCCACAGAAAUAACCAAAUUUCCUUCUCAAUUGUGUCUUUAUGACCAUUUAAAGUCAUUUCCACAGUUAAUUACUUAAUUCUAAAGCAGUUUCUAAUAUUAGGUUGGUGCAAAAGUAAUUGCGGUUUCUGCUGUUCAAAGUAAUGGCGGCUGGGCGCAGUGGUUCACGCCUGUAAUCCUAGCAUUUUGGGAGGCUGAGGUGGGCAGAUCACAAGGUCAGGAGUUCGAGACCAGCCUGGCCAACAUGAUGAAACCCCAUCUCAACUAAAAAUACAAAAAAUUAGCCAGGCAUGGUGGCACACACCUGUAAUACCAGCUACUCGAGAGGCUGAGGCAGGAGAACUGCUUGACCCUGGGAGGCAGAGGUUGUAAUGAGCCGAGAUUGUGCCACUGCAUUCCAGCCUGGGUGACAGAACGAGACUCCGUCUCUAAAUAAAUAAAUAAAUAAAUAAAGUAAUGGCAGGCUGGGUGCAAGUGGCUCACCCCUGUAAUCCCAGCACUUUGGGAGGCCAAGGUUGGUAGACCACUUGAGGUCAGGAGUUCGAGACUAGUCUGGCCAACAAGGUGAAACCCAUCUCUACUAAAAAUACAAAAAAAUUAGCAAGGCAUGGUGGCAUGCGCCUGUAGUCCCAGCUACUCGGGAAUCUGAGGCAGGAGAAUAGUUUCAACCAGGAAGGAGGAGGUUGCAGUGAGCCGAGAUAGCACCACUGCACUCCAGCUUGGAUGACAGAGCGAGAUUCCGUCUCAAUAAAUAAAUAAAUAAAUAAAUAAAUGUAUGGCAGUUAUUAAAAAUAACUUCACAAGCAAAUAAAAUCCUAUUUUGUCUUCAAGGAGGUUAAUGGAAAAGAUGAAAUGGACCUUGGUAAGCACUCCUGAAGAUAGGUUUCUGGUAACUUUAGGAUCAUAUCGUUUGGACUGAGUAAGAAUUACCAGAACCAUAUUGAAGAGACAGAGUGAUAUAUAAAACUGCUAACUCAAGCAGCACAAGAAUUAAAUGAAUACCAAGAAAAUACUUGGCCAGAUUUUCAUGCUAACUCAGUCAGUACUGAAACUAUUAAGAUACAUAAUUUGAAUGAACUCCAUGGUCCAGGUCAAACUACCUAUGAUAACCCAUCUAAUAAACAGUGCUGUGCACCUCCAUUGGAGAAAGAAAAUUGCUAUGUAAGAGGAUACAAUUCCAGUGUUAAGCAUGGACUCAUGGAGAGAGACUGGACAGCCGGCUGCCUGCUCCUUCCUGAGUCCUUAAAAAUUCCAUUACUAGAAGCUGUAUUCCAUGAUUCAUCAAGGAAGAGAUAAAAUGUAUAUACUGGCCGGGCAUGGUGGCUCACACCUGUAAUCCCAGCACUUUGGGAGGCCAAGGUGGGCUGAUCACCUGAGGUCAGGAGUUUUAGACCACCUGGGCCAACACGGUGAAAGCCUGUCUCUACUUAAAAAAUACAAAAAAUUAGCUGGGUGUGGUGGCAGGUACUUGCAAUCCCAGCUACUUGGGAGGCUGAGGCACAAGAAUUGCUUGAACCCGGGAGGUGGAAGUUGCAGUGAGCCGAGAUCGCACCACUGCACUCUAGCCUGGGUGACAGAGUGAGACUAUGUCUCAAAACAAACAAACAAACAAACAAACACCUUACAUAUAUAUUGGUGUUGUGACUGUUCUAAAUUGCUAAAAUGGUUUAUGACCAAUGUAUAGUUUGUCAAACCCAUAAUCUUGAGAAGACAACCAAAACUUCAGGUACCUUUCUGCUACAUCUGAACACUUUACAGAGGGAUUUCAUUCAAUUGUGAUUUUCAGUGCAUAUUUUCUGGUUGUACAGGAGCUUUCUCAUACAAGUGGGCUGAUGCUAUAACAGCAGCUAAAAGGUUAUUAGGAAAUGUGUUUCUCUCAUAGAACAUUGCUGAAGAAAUCUCCAGUGAUAGAGAUACUUGCCUCACUGGACUGGCUGUAAAACAGUUAAAUAAGGUAUUACAGAUAUAAGAGCAUUAGGCAAAACUAACUGAAUAAUCUGGAUUGCCUUGGUCAAAGAUGUUUCAGAUUGAUGACAAACAGAUCCACUUCCAUGGGAAAACAAAAGUUGAACCCUUAUGAAAUAGUCACUGGAAGGCUUAUGCUCCUAAUAACAGAACCUUCUGUAUCUUAUGCUCCUAAACCUUAACGUGACUAAAUGCUGCAAGGCUGUAAUGUAUUAUGCCAAAGUGUAUUUUCACCAGGUAAAGAAAGCUUUUCAUGGACCACUGACUCAGGACAAGCAAACCCUUCAUGAUAUAGAAUUCAGAGGCUGGAUCUUUUGGAAACACAUCAGAGAAAGACUCCCCUUGUCACCCACACUGCAGCGAAACUUCAGGACCCUGAAGCUUGGGUUUGUAAUCUCACAACUUAGAAAGGCCCACCCAGACUCUUGGAACCACACACCCAUCAGAGGGAGAACUUAAGGUAAAGCUAAUGAGGUCUAAUCAAUGGUGCUCUAACUACAGAACAGCGAAUCUUAACCUGGGGACCAUGGGUCAUGAAUGGACUGCAGAAAUUCUGUGACCUCCUGGUGGAGGUUCCAGUUUACUAAAUGGAAACAUUUCUUCUGAGAGGAUCUGUUCCCUGGAUCUACUUAAAAAGCUCAGGGUUAAAUGAGAAGGACCUAACCCUUCUCAUAUAGCCCACCAAGGCUUGUAUCAAGAACAUUAGAUUACUUCCAUGAUUGCUUUUAAUUCUGACAGUCCAUGAAAUGGUCAUAAGGUAUGGGUUGAUAAGGACAUGGUUCUCUAGUAUUACAGUUCACCCUAAUAUGUUUUAAAUUCUCAUUUCUAAGGUUAAGUACUAACCAAUCUGCUAAUUUCCUCUUGUCUAUCUGGUGCAGAUCUUGCUGUUGCCUUGAUCAUAGUGGAAGUCUGAUUGUCUGUUAGCUUCUUGAUACAUCGUUGCCCUGCCACAAUAUUACAGACCUACAAAUGGAAAAAAGUUUUGUACUACAUGUAUAUAUCUUUUUUUUUUAGCUCUUACUUAGUGCCAAUUACAUGUAAAUAAAAAUUUAAAAUCAA
Molecule: long non-coding RNA, 3306 nt
Organism: Homo sapiens (human)
Lineage: Eukaryota; Metazoa; Chordata; Mammalia; Primates; Hominidae
Exons: 3
Source: RefSeq, a predicted model, not a curated record